Molecule: ribosomal RNA, 260 nt
Filed under: uncultured Glomus
Lineage: Eukaryota; Fungi; Glomeromycota; Glomeromycetes; Glomerales; Glomeraceae
Description: partial 18S ribosomal RNA
Rfam family: Eukaryotic small subunit ribosomal RNA
Source: RNAcentral
AAGCUCGUAGUUGUAUUUCGGGAUUGGGAUAUAUCGGUCAUGCCUUUAGGGACAUGAAUCGGUGUGUGAUCAAUUCUCACCUUCUGGUGAAUUGGGAUGCUCUUGGGUGUUUCGAUGAACUAGGACAUUUACUUUGAAAAAAUUAGAGUGUUUAAAGCGGGCAUUUUUGCUUGAAUACAUUAGCAUGGAAUAAUAAAAUAGGACGAUGGUUCUAUUUUGUUGGUUUUAGGACCACGUAAUGAUUAAUAGGGAUAGUUGGG